CCCCACCGCCUGCCGCGAGGCCAAGGCCGAGCGGGGGUCAGGGCAGCUCACCUCUGCUUGGAGUAGAGCUCCCGCUCCAGCCGCCGCUUGCGGAUGAAAGCCAUGGAGCCGCGCGGCCGAGGGAUCUCUUAGGAGUAGUUCACAGAAUCUAAGGAGUUGAGAGAUCAGUUUGGAAAACAGUGAUAUCCUCAAGAGCCAUUUGUCUUAAUUGAUUUGUAAAAGCACUGAUUUGAAAGAAAGCUGCAACACUUGCAUGCAGCUUGUACAAAUGUCUAACAACAUUUAUGAAUAUGUACGUGUCCUAUAUCCAACCUGAAUUUUGUUUGCUCUGUUCCUUGCAACACUGUCAGUGGAAAUUGACCCUAUUUGUUAAGCUGUUCGCAUAUGUUUUAAUAAAUGUGUGUGUAAAUAUAUAUAUAUACAAUUAUUUAUAUGCGCAGAUGUGCAUAUCAUCUUUUCCUAAACUAAACAAUUGUGUUCACUUUCCUCAUAGACUGCACUCAUAAUAAAUGAUUUAUUCUAACAGCUUUA
Long non-coding RNA from Neopsephotus bourkii (Bourke's parrot), 531 nucleotides. RefSeq lists it as uncharacterized. The record is from RefSeq and is a predicted model, not a curated record. The transcript has 2 exons. Lineage: Eukaryota; Metazoa; Chordata; Aves; Psittaciformes; Psittacidae.